CAUAUCGUCCCUCUGUGUCCCCAUAUUGUCCCCCAGUGUCCCCAUAUUGUCCCCACAUUGUGUCCCAGUCCCUCAGUGUCCCCACAUUGUCCCCAAAUUGUGUCCCUGUCCCUUAGUGUCCCCAAAUUGUGUCCCCGUCCCCCCGUGUCCCCGCGCUGUGUCCCCACGCUGUGGCCCCACAUUGUCCCCACCACGUCCCCAUGUUGUCCCUCUGUGUCCCCAGAUCGUCCCCAUGCUUUGUCCCCGUGCCUCAGUUUCCCCAUAUGGUGUCCCCAGAUCGUCCCCAAAUUGUGCCCCUGUCCCCCAGUGUCCCCAUGUCGUCCCUCUGGCCCCACGCUGUGUCACCCUGCCUCAGUUUCCCCUGUCCCUCAGUGUCCCCAUAGUGUCCCCCGAGGGGUUUUGGUGCUGGGGGGUUUUGGUGCUUUUGGGGUUUUGGUGCUUUUGGGGUUUUGGUGGUGCUGGGGGGGCUUUGCUGUGUGUAUGGGGUCUUGGUGCUGUGUGGGGUUUCGGUGCUGUGGGGUUUUAGGGUUUUGGUGCUGUGGGGUUUUGGGGUUUUGGUGCUUGUGGGGUUUUGGUGCUGUGGGGUUUUAGGGUUUUGGUGCUGUGUGGGGUUUUGGUGCUGUGGGGUUGGGGGGUUUUAGGGUUUUGGUGCUGUUUGGGGUUUUGGUGCUGUGGGGUUUUUGGGGUUUCGGUGCUGUGGGGUUUUUGGGGGUUUGGUGCUGUGGGGUUUUGGGGUUUCGGUGGUGCUGUGUGUUGACCCCCCCGCGUGCCCCCCUCAGCGCUGCCCCAUUUGGGGUCACCUCGGGGUCCCCCCGUGGCCAUGGGGGCGGCGGUGUCCGUCCGUC
Molecule: long non-coding RNA, 845 nt
Filed under: Chrysolophus pictus (golden pheasant)
Lineage: Eukaryota; Metazoa; Chordata; Aves; Galliformes; Phasianidae
Description: lncRNA (ENSCPIG00010010837.1)
Source: RNAcentral